GACGAACGCUGGCGGCGUGCCUAAUACAUGCAAGUUGAGCGCUGAAGGUUGGUACUUGUACCAACUGGAUGAGCAGCGAACGGGUGAGUAACGCGUGGGGAAUCUGCCUUUGAGCGGGGGACAACAUUUGGAAACGAAUGCUAAUACCGCAUAAAAACUUUAAACACAAGUUUUAAGUUUGAAAGAUGCAAUUGCAUCACUCAAAGAUGAUCCCGCGUUGUAUUAGCUAGUUGGUGAGGUAAAGGCUCACCAAGGCGAUGAUACAUAGCCGACCUGAGAGGGUGGUCGGCCACAUUGGGACUGAGACACGGCCCCAACUCCUUCGGGAGGCAGCAGUAGGGGAUCUUCGGCAAUGGACGAAAGUCUGACCGAGCAACGCCGCGUGAGUGAAGAAGGUUUUCGGAUCGUAAAACUCUGUUGGUAGAGAAGAACGGUGGUGAGAGUGGAAAGCUCAUCAAGUGACGGUAACUACCCAGAAAGGGACGGCUAACUACGUG
RNAcentral lists this ribosomal RNA (497 nucleotides) under uncultured bacterium. RNAcentral describes it as "partial 16S ribosomal RNA". It matches the Rfam family "Bacterial small subunit ribosomal RNA", at positions 28 to 507 of the family's 1533-position model. The record is from RNAcentral.